CAUUAGCCUGUUAAUUGUAGGCUGGCAUCAACGGUUAGACGACAAAAAGUCUGUCUUUUUCUUUAUUCUUUAAUUUGACAUUUAAGUGAAGAGGCUUAAAUUAGAUAGCGGGACGAGAAGACCCUAUUGAGCUUUAGGACUAUUAUCUUUGUUUUUAAAAUAAGGUCUUUGGGUUGGGGCAACCAUUUCUAUAGUUUAACAGAAAUAAAAGUAAAGUUGAAUCAAAUCUUUCUUAGACCCGGAAGUAUUCCGGAAACUGGAAAAAGUUACCUUAGGGAUAACAGCGUAAUU
Molecule: ribosomal RNA, 291 nt
Filed under: Ophionereis schayeri
Lineage: Eukaryota; Metazoa; Echinodermata; Ophiuroidea; Amphilepidida; Ophionereidae
Description: partial large subunit ribosomal RNA
Rfam family: Bacterial large subunit ribosomal RNA
Source: RNAcentral